GGGAUUGUAGUUCAAUUGGUCAGAGCACUGCCCUGUCAAGGCGGAAGCUGUGGAUUGGAGACCCGUCAGUCCCA
This is a non-coding RNA of Amborella trichopoda, 74 nucleotides long. The record is from Rfam. NCBI's taxonomy places the organism in Eukaryota, Viridiplantae, Streptophyta, Magnoliopsida, Amborellales, Amborellaceae.